GAUGAAGAACGUAGCGAAAUGCGAUAAGUAGUGUGAAUUGCAGAAUUCAGUGAAUCAUCGAAUCUUUGAACGCACAUUGCGCCCCUUGGUAUUCCAUGGGGCAUGCCUGUUCGAGCGUCAUUUGUACCCUCAAGCUUUGCUUGGUGUUGGGUGUUUGUCCCGCGUUGCGCGUGGACUCGCCUUAAAGCGAUUGGCAGCCGGCAUAUUGGCCUUGGAGCGCAGCACAUUUUGCGCUUCUAGUCAUGAAUGUUGGCGUCCAUUAAGCCUAUACAUUUGCUCUUGACCUCGGAUCAGGUAGGGAUACCCGCUGAACUUAAGCAUAUCAAUAAGCCGGAGGA
Molecule: unclassified non-coding RNA, 338 nt
Filed under: soil metagenome
Description: partial contains 5.8S ribosomal RNA, internal transcribed spacer 2, and large subunit ribosomal RNA
Rfam family: 5.8S ribosomal RNA (bases 1-120)
Source: RNAcentral